Molecule: non-coding RNA, 28 nt
Filed under: Rattus norvegicus (Norway rat)
Lineage: Eukaryota; Metazoa; Chordata; Mammalia; Rodentia; Muridae
Source: RNAcentral
UUACUAUGAAUGUGUGGGAACAUGUGGU